Molecule: ribosomal RNA, 1227 nt
Filed under: metagenome
Description: bacterial LSU rRNA
Rfam family: Bacterial large subunit ribosomal RNA
Source: RNAcentral
GUGAUGCCGAAGCCGUAUGGCGAAGUCAACUGAUGUCACGCUUCCAAGAAAAGCUUCUAGGGUUAAUUUAGUAAGUGCCCGUACCGAUAACCGACACAGGUAGGCGAGGAGAGAAUCCUAAGAUGAGCGAGAGAACUCUUGUUAAGGAACUCGGCAAAAUGACCCCGUAACUUCGGGAGAAGGGGUGCUUAUGAAAGCAAGCCGCAGUGAAUAGGCCCAGGCGACUGUUUAUCAAAAACACAGGUCUCUGCUAAACCGCAAGGUGAUGUAUAGGGGCUGACGCCUGCCCGGUGCUGGAAGGUUAAGAGGAGAGGUUAGCGCAAGCGAAGCUUUGAAUUGAAGCCACAGUAAACGGCGGCCGUAACAAUAACGGUCCUAAGGUAGCGAAAUUCCUUGUCGGGUAAGUUCCGACCCGCACGAAAGGCGUAACGAUCUGGGCGCUGUCUCAACAAGAGACUCGGUGAAAUCAUAGUACCUGUGAAGAUGCAGGUUACCCGCGACAGGACGGAAAGACCCCGUGGAGCUUUACUGUAGCUUGAUAUUGAGCACUGGUGACACAUGUACAGGAUAGGUAGGAGACGAAGAAGCCAGGACGCCAGUCUUGGUGGAGUCGCUGUUGGGAUACUACCCUUGUGUUACUGGGGUUCUAACCCGUGGCUAUGAUCUGGUCAGGGAACAGUGUCAGGUGGGCAGUUUGACUGGGGCGGUCGCCUCCCAAAGAGUAACGGAGGCGCCCAAAGGUUCCCUCAGAAUGGUUGGAAAUCAUUCGAAGAGUGUAAAGGCAGAAGGGAGCUUGACUGCGAGACCUACAAGUCGAGCAGGGACGAAAGUCGGGCUUAGUGAUCCGGCGGUACCGAAUGAAAGGGCCGUCGCUCAACGGAUAAAAGCUACCCCGGGGAUAACAGGCUGAUCUCCCCCAAGAGUUCACAUCGACGGGGAGGUUUGGCACCUCGAUGUCGGCUCAUCGCAUCCUGGGGCUGUAGUCGGUCCCAAGGGUUGGGCUGUUCGCCCAUUAAAGCGGUACGCGAGCUGGGUUCAGAACGUCGUGAGACAGUUCGGUCCCUAUCCGUCGUGGGCGUAGGAAAUUUGAGAGGAGCUGUCCUUAGUACGAGAGGACCGGGAUGGACACACCGCUGGUGUACCAGUUGUUCUGCCAGGAGCAUAGCUGGGUAGCUACGUGUGGACGGGAUAAACGCUGAAAGCAUCUAAGCGUGUAGCCGCCCUUAA